This 185-nucleotide non-coding RNA is filed under the name Streptomyces variegatus. The record is from RNAcentral. Lineage: Bacteria; Bacillati; Actinomycetota; Actinomycetes; Kitasatosporales; Streptomycetaceae.
UUAUUGUCACCAGGCCUUGGUGAACGGGAAAUCCGGUGUGAUGCCGGUGCGGCCCUCGCCACUGUGAAUCGGGAAGUCCGGCUCCAGCCCUAGCGGGCAGCCACUGGGUCUCAGUGACCCGGGAAGGCGGAGUCCGGGCGGUGGUACCCGUCAGCCAGGAGACCGGCCAAGGCGCGUCAACCAUC